GUCUACAGCCACAUUACCCUGAACAAGCCCAAUCCCAUCUGAUCUCGGAAGAUCCCAGGGUCUGAUCUCAGGUUAGUACUUGUCGGGGAGACCACCUAAGAAGACCGGGUGCUGUAGGUU
RNAcentral lists this ribosomal RNA (120 nucleotides) under Pteropus alecto (black flying fox). The record is from RNAcentral. Lineage: Eukaryota; Metazoa; Chordata; Mammalia; Chiroptera; Pteropodidae.